This 253-nucleotide ribosomal RNA is filed under the name uncultured bacterium. Its description in RNAcentral is "partial 16S ribosomal RNA". It matches the Rfam family "Bacterial small subunit ribosomal RNA", at positions 524 to 776 of the family's 1533-position model. The record is from RNAcentral.
CACGUAGGGCGCAAGCGUUGUCCGGAAUUAUUGGGCGUAAAGAGCUCGUAGGUGGUUUGUUACGUCUGCUGUGAAAACCUAGGGCUUAACCCUGGGCUUGCAGUGGAUACGGGCAGACUAGAGGUAGGUAGGGGAGAAUGGAAUUCCUGGUGUAGCGGUGAAAUGCGCAGAUAUCAGGAGGAACACCGGUGGCGAAGGCGGUUCUCUGGGCCUUACCUGACACUGAGGAACGAAAGCCAGGGGAGCGAACGGG